GCUCGAGUGGCAAACGGGUGAGUAACACGUGAGUAACCUGCCCUUGACUUUGGGAUAACUUCAGGAAACUGGGGCUAAUACCGGAUAGGAGCUCCUGCUGCAUGGUGGGGGUUGGAAAGUUUCGGCGGUUGGGGAUGGACUCGCGGCUUAUCAGCUUGUUGGUGGGGUAGUGGCUUACCAAGGCUUCGACGGGUAGCCGGCCUGAGAGGGUGACCGGCCACAUUGGGACUGAGAUACGGCCCAG
This 244-nucleotide ribosomal RNA is filed under the name uncultured Actinomycetales bacterium. RNAcentral's name for it is "partial 16S ribosomal RNA". It matches the Rfam family "Bacterial small subunit ribosomal RNA", at positions 89 to 334 of the family's 1533-position model. Lineage: Bacteria; Bacillati; Actinomycetota; Actinomycetes; Actinomycetales. The record is from RNAcentral.